RNAcentral lists this ribosomal RNA (441 nucleotides) under uncultured bacterium. RNAcentral describes it as "partial 16S ribosomal RNA". It matches the Rfam family "Bacterial small subunit ribosomal RNA", at positions 338 to 795 of the family's 1533-position model. The record is from RNAcentral.
CCUACGGGGGGCAGCAGUGGGGAAUAUUGCACAAUGGGCGAAAGCCUGAUGCAGCAACGCCGCGUGAAGGAAGACGGUUUUCGGAUUGUAAACUUCUGUUCUUAGUGAAGAAUAAUGACGGUAACUAAGGAGCAAGCCACGGCUAACUACGUGCCAGCAGCCGCGGUAAUACGUAGGUGGCAAGCGUUGUCCGGAAUUACUGGGUGUAAAGGGAGCGUAGGCGGGAAGCCAAGUCAGCUGUGAAAACUACGGGCUUAACCUGUAGACUGCAGUUGAAACUGGCUUUCUUGAGUGAAGUAGGGGUUGGCGGAAUGCCGAGUGUAGCGGUGAGAUGUGGAGAGAGUCGGAGGAACACCGGUGGCGAAGGCGGCCAACUGGGCUUUAACUGACGCUGAGGCUCGAAAGUGUGGGGAGCAAACAGGAUUAGAUACCCGAGUAGUC